CAUAGUGAGCCCAGGAUAUGGGUAAGCAUUCUAUCUAUUCUCUUUUGGUAUAACAACUACUUAGCCAAACUCUCUGGUAUAAUUCAUAAUUAUAAUAUCUGUACAUUCAUUGAUUAUACAACUAGAAAUUGCCCUUGACUGUAAUUAUGCCACUUAAGAGGGCGAGCUGUGCUAAGCUUCGGGUUUGUGCUCUGUGUUUUGGUGUUGGGAACUCCAUUUUAACAAGAUCACGGCAGGGGACGAAAUUGGUAUUCUAAAACCUUGCCUGUACAGAUUCCUUUAGCAUCAACUGUACUGCUCAGCAAGCAGUGGGCUUGGGUCUAUUUCCCUGUUUUCCAUAAAACCCCGCUGGCUGCCCGGAAUCAUGUCCACUUCCAGCCUGCGUCGAGUCCCUGAGCAGCUAUUGUGUUGCUUUUCCCCAGCUUGAAACCAGGGUUUUGAGCCUUUGUUAAUCAAAUCUUCCUGCACCUUGUCCAGCUAAGCCUCUGUGUCAAGCAAUUAAAGCAGUGUGCCAUCAGCUUCUGAGUGUUUGUUACAAGGCUGUGACAGAAAAGCUCCCCACUUACCUGUUCCCAGCCUGGCUUGCAAUCCCUCAUCACAGCCUGGAAGAGAGAAACAGCUGCAGCUGCCAGCUGAAAAAGAAGAAAGAUCUGCAUCAGGUUGGUUGUGUUUCCAGUUACAAUCAGAUCAGAACAAAAGACUUUGUCCUGCUUUAAAUGCUGUGUUGGCUCUCGCUGCUUGGAAGGUGACAGUCCUGGUAGCUGUCUUCUCCUCUCUGUUAGGAGCAUUGCAGGGCCAGGCAGGAGCAUGACUUAGGCAUCGUGUCCUCUGACGUGGGUGAAACCUUCCCGCAGUAUUUGUGAGGACCCUGGGAGCACAUGAGGCUUUAUACUCUUUUUUUUCUUCUUGUAACACUAAAGCUGUGCUUGCUUUUGUGUUUACAGUUCAGACUGUACCCCAGGCUGAGGGAGCAGUGAAUUGCCCCAAGAUCUUUUCUCUCCAGCAGCAAUAAACCCUGAGAAGCGCAAUGCUAGCAGUCUUCCCUGUGCCUAUUCCCAGGGAAGCUCUCCUCCCCACGACCUGGACCUCCUGGUAAAGCAGAGCUUUGGGUUUGGCGCCACUUCAGGUUGUUUUGAGGUUAUUUUGGGAUCUUUUAGUGCCGUUUUGGGAUUGUUUCAGUGUCAUUUUGGUGCCAUUUGGAGCUAGACUGUCUGCGGGCAGUUCGGACAUCAUUUGGGCCUUUUGGGGGCUGCUUUGGUGCCAUUUUAGGCUGUACUGUGGGCUCUUUUGGGGUGACAGUGUAGAUAAAAGCGCAGCGGCUGGCGGUGAGGCGGCCCUGACGCUCCGUGUGUCCCGCCGCACCACGACGCCCUGUGACUCCGCGCGACGCCCUGAGUGGACGCGGAGGGCGGGAAAGCAGCAGGCAGGGGCAGCUCGAGGAGGGGGCGUGGCUUGAAGAGUCCCCGCCCCCCCCGCUCAGUAUAAAUGGAAGCGGCGGCGCCGGCCGCUCUAAGCGGGAGCGUGUCCCGCCUGGGCGGUCAUGGUGGCGGUGCGCUGCGUCCUGCUGCUGCUGUGCGGCGCUGUGCUGGGGCGCGCCGUGCACCUCGACUUCGCCGAGCACCGCAGCCAGGCGGCCAAGAUCAAGGUGAACCCCCGCGGCAACCUGUGGGCCACAGGUCACUUCAUGGGGAAGAAGAGCGUGCCGGGCACCCCGCGAAUGGAUGAACUGCCGCAGCCGGCGGCACCGAUGUCUUUCGGCCCCUCGCUCAGAGCUUUGCUGGAGGACGUGGUGGAACUGCUUACCCGGGAGCUCCUGAAAAUCCUCUUGCAAGAAAGACUUUUGGAUCAGAACCAAAGAAAAUACGAUCUCGCUGACCAGAUUUAGGUAAACUGAGGAUCUGCUAGCAAGCUAAUCCCCUUGGGACAGAAGAUACAGCUGGAGAUGGAGCCAGAGCUAGAACCCAGUGCUGGACAUCAGUCUUUGGAGACUGGGCUUUUAACAAAGGUGCUGGAGAAGUAUUUCUCAAACUGAAGAAGCGCAGCAGUGAAGGAUGAGGUCAGCAGGCUAAGCUGUGCAUGGCAAAUGGAGGAGAGCAUCAUCCUUGUGGGUUACUGUAGCAACAUCACAUUUAUUCUUUCUGUAAUACUGUUAAUAGUGAUUGCUUGUAUGAAAAGCAGAUCCUCCCUGUAUAUUUCCUGUAUGUUUUCUGCUUCCUUGUUGUCUGAUGUGCCCCUGUGAAUAAAACCAGCUCUUUGCAGAUGCUA
RNA transcript from Centrocercus urophasianus (Greater sage-grouse), 2265 nucleotides. It is a transcript of the gene named neuromedin B, with no coding region annotated. The transcript has 4 exons. Lineage: Eukaryota; Metazoa; Chordata; Aves; Galliformes; Phasianidae. The record is from RefSeq and is a predicted model, not a curated record.